GACGAACGCUGUCGGCGUGCUUAACACAUGCAAGUCGAACGGAAAGGCCCUGCUUUUGUGGGGUGCUCGAGUGGCGAACGGGUGAGUAACACGUGAGUAACCUGCCCUUGACUUUGGGAUAACUUCAGGAAACUGGGGCUAAUACCGGAUAGGAGCUCCUGCUGCAUGGUGGGGGUUGGAAAGUUUCGGCGGUUGGGGAUGGACUCGCGGCUUAUCAGCUUGUUGGUGGGGUAGUGGCUUACCAAGGCUUUGACGGGUAGCCGGCCUGAGAGGGUGACCGGCCACAUUGGGACUGAGAUACGGCCCAGACUCCUACGGGAGGCAGCAGUGGGGAAUAUUGCACAAUGGGCGGAAGCCUGAUGCAGCAACGCCGCGUGCGGGAUGACGGCCUUCGGGUUGUAAACCGCUUUCGCCUGUGACGAAGCGUGAGUGACGGUAAUGGGUAAAGAAGCACCGGCUAACUACGUGCCAGCAGCCGCGGUGAUACGUAGGGUGCGAGCGUUGUCCGGAUUUAUUGGGCGUAAAGGGCUCGUAGGUGGUUGAUCGCGUCGGAAGUGUAAUCUUGGGGCUUAACCCUGAGCGUGCUUUCGAUACGGGUUGACUUGAGGAAGGUAGGGGAGAAUGGAAUUCCUGGUGGAGCGGUGGAAUGCGCAGAUAUCAGGAGGAACACCAGUGGCGAAGGCGGUUCUCUGGGCCUUUCCUGACGCUGAGGAGCGAAAGCGUGGGGAGCGAACAGGCUUAGAUACCCUGGUAGUCCACGCUGUAAACGGUGGGUACUAGGUGUGGGGUCCAUUCCACGGGUUCCGUGCCGUAGCUAACGCUUUAAGUACCCCGCCUGGGGAGUACGGCCGCAAGGCUAAAACUCAAAGAAAUUGACGGGGCCCCGCACAAGCGGCGGAGCAUGCGGAUUAAUUCGAUGCAACGCGUAGAACCUUACCUGGGUUUGACAUGGAUCGGGGGUGCUCAGAGAUGGGUGUGCCUCUUUUGGGGUCGGUUCACAGGUGGUGCAUGGCUGUCGUCAGCUCGUGUCGUGAGAUGUUGGGUUAAGUCCCGCAACGAGCGCAACCCUUGUUCACUGUUGCCAGCACGUUAUGGUGGGGACUCAGUGGAGACCGCCGGGGUCAACUCGGAGGAAGGUGGGGAUGACGUCAAGUCAUCAUGCCCCUUAUGUCCAGGGCUUCACGCAUGCUACAAUGGCUGGUACAGAGAGUGGCGAGCCUGUGAGGGUGAGCGAAUCUCGGAAAGCCGGUCUCAGUUCGGAUUGGGGUCUGCAACUCGACCUCAUGAAGUCGGAGUCGCUAGUAAUCGCAGAUCAGCAACGCUGCGGUGAAUACGUUCCCGGG
Molecule: ribosomal RNA, 1343 nt
Filed under: uncultured bacterium
Lineage: Bacteria
Description: 16S ribosomal RNA
Rfam family: Bacterial small subunit ribosomal RNA
Source: RNAcentral